CUGAACCAGCCAAGUAGCGUGAAGGAUGACUGCCCUAUGGGUUGUAAACUUCUUUUAUAUGGGAAUAAAGUUUUCCACGUGUGGCUUUUUGUAUGUACCAUAUGAAUAAGGAUCGGCUAACUCCGUGCCAGCAGCCGCGGUAAUACGGAGGAUCCGAGCGUUAUCCGGAUUU
This 172-nucleotide ribosomal RNA is filed under the name uncultured bacterium. RNAcentral's name for it is "partial 16S ribosomal RNA". It matches the Rfam family "Bacterial small subunit ribosomal RNA", at positions 383 to 552 of the family's 1533-position model. The record is from RNAcentral.